Molecule: long non-coding RNA, 1112 nt
Organism: Canis lupus familiaris (dog)
Lineage: Eukaryota; Metazoa; Chordata; Mammalia; Carnivora; Canidae
Exons: 5
Source: RefSeq, a predicted model, not a curated record
AUGGAGAAAAGGCUGCCCUAGAAAAUCAAGUUCAAAUUCUUCAUCCUGGCUUUGGUGUUCCAAACAUAAUUAUUCACUGACCUCGAAAAGUACCCCAUCCCACCUUCCUGCACAUCCCUCACCAUUAAUGCACCUGUGUCCCAGUGCCUGGCACAGAGUAGAUCCUCUUUAAGUGUUUGCCCAAAGCAGAGGGGGACAAACAACAGACUGAUCUUGGAUGAAAUGAAGACAGCCACUGAAGGUUUUUGAGGGCCAGUGUGACAUGAUCCAGCCACCCUGACAACCGUGAAGGAGAGAGCGGAGGAGUAUGCAUGAGGACCUCUGAGACCAGCUGCGAAAUGACUACAGUUGUCCAGGUUGUCCCCAAAGAGAAACUCAAGAAUCGGUGAUGAGCAGAGCAGGAGAGGGAGCCGCCUGCCUAUCUCAAAAGGGCACAUCACCAUAAUCACAGAUAUACCAUCCGACACACCUCAGCGGAUCCUAAUACCAGCAAUGGAUCGAGCCCGAGUGAAGGAGCAAUUCAGAUCCAGAAACGUCCUUGGGAAAAGCCUGAAGUUGAAAUAGGAAGGAGAAGCCGUGGAGAGCGGGAGGGGUUGCAGCUCGGACUCGCUCCCCCUCCGGCAGGCAGGGCGGCGGCCUGUUUCAGCAUCAGUACCCGAGGAGGGCCGCUUCCUCCUCUUCCUAGAGACCGCCUCAUUAUCUAAGAGAUCCUGCCGAACAGAAGCUUUUCCUGUCCCGAGAGCCUCACCUCCCUUGAUUUCACACAUUGCUCCUCAUUUUGGCUGGCCCUAUCAGGACCAAGAGACACUCACUUCCCCUGGCAUUCAGCCACUUAGAGCUGGAGGCAGAGUAAGCGCCUAUUGUCAUCCUCCCAAGGCCCGGUGGGAGUGAUGCUGACAUGCGACCCAUUGAUCCUGCCCUCUACCUGACGCUUUUCCCAAGCCUGGCCUCGUCUGGUCAUCCCACUGAACCGACAAGGUGAUACUCUCCCACUCUGCAGAUGAGGAAGCUCUUGCUCAGAGAAGCUAAGCAACAGACCAAGGCCACAAAGCUCUUGAGUGACGGGGCAGGAACCUAAAUGACUUGAAACUCCAUGCUUCUACCCCGUAAAG